AAACUUGAGAGUUUGAUCCUGGCUCAGAACGAACGCUGGCGGCAUGCCUAAUACAUGCAAGUCGAACGAACACUUCGGUGUUAGUGGCGCACGGGUGCGUAACGCGUGGGAAUCUACCCUUGGGUUCGGAAUAACAGUUAGAAAUGACUGCUAAUACCGGAUGAUGACGUAAGUCCAAAGAUUUAUCGCCCAAGGAUGAGCCCGCGUAAGAUUAGCUAGUUGGUAGGGUAAAGGCCUACCAAGGCUACGAUCUUUAGCUGGUCUGAGAGGAUGAUCAGCCACACUGGGACUGAGACACGGCCCAGACUCCUACGGGAGGCAGCAGUAGGGAAUAUUGGACAAUGGGGGAAACCCUGAUCCAGCAAUGCCGCGUGAGUGAUGAAGGCCUUAGGGUUGUAAAGCUCUUUUACCCGAGAUGAUAAUGACAGUAUCGGGAGAAUAAGCUCCGGCUAACUCCGUGCCAGCAGCCGCGGUAAUACGGAGGGAGCUAGCGUUGUUCGGAAUUACUGGGCGUAAAGCGCACGUAGGCGGCGAUCUAAGUCAGAGGUGAAAGCCCGGGGCUCAACCCCGGAAUUGCCUUUGAGACUGGAUUGCUAGAAUCCGGGAGAGGUGAGUGGAAUUCCGAGUGUAGAGGUGAAAUUCGUAGAUAUUCGGAAGAACACCAGUGGCGAAGGCGGCUCACUGGACCGGCAUUGACGCUGAGGUGCGAAAGCGUGGGGAGCA
This 723-nucleotide ribosomal RNA is filed under the name Sphingobium sp. RNAcentral's name for it is "bacterial SSU rRNA". It matches the Rfam family "Bacterial small subunit ribosomal RNA", at positions 1 to 770 of the family's 1533-position model. The record is from RNAcentral. Lineage: Bacteria; Pseudomonadati; Pseudomonadota; Alphaproteobacteria; Sphingomonadales; Sphingobiaceae.